UUAAUUUUACUAAAAUGGACCAAUGUAUAUACUUAACACAAGAGAUGAGAAAAAUGUUAUUCAAACUUCUUUGAAAACCCGGGAGUAUAUAAUUUACUAAUCAUAAGAGCAACAACAUAAUUUUUUGGUAAAUUACAGGUAUCAUCCGUGCGCAACUGCGAAAACUAAUCCACUCGAGAUAGCAGCAACAUAAUUUUAUUUUUAUUUUAAUUAAAUUUUACUGCUUUGUACAUAAGUAUACAUUCACAAGCCACUAAUUUAUAAGUAUACGUAUACAACCACAAACUCCAAAUCCCUCAGAUUCGGUUACAUGAAAUGGAAAUCCACAGGCUCCAAUUUCACCAUCAAAACACAUAAGAUUUUGACAAUCCCCGUUAGUUCGGCACAUGAGGAACACUAUGAAGAAUUAAGGAACUUUAUCAAAAUGAGGGUGAAAUUUGAAUAAGAAAAUUUAAAGGUAAAAAAUAUUAGAAAUCCUUAUACAUAUAUCAAAGUUAGACAACAAUCAUUUAAAAUUUCAAAUUAUAUUAAUAAAGAUUACGGUUAAACAAGUUUUUAAACCGUAUAAAUAUUCUUAAAAUUUAUUUUAAGUCUAUAUAAACAAUUUCAGCAAGUUGAUUUUGUCUCCUAAUAUAUUUUAUUUCAUAACUUUUAAUUCUUAUUUUUAAAUCAACUCAUGUAUACAGUAUACUUUCAUAUUUUUUAACGAGUUUUAAUUUAUAAUUAUGUUUAUAAUUAUAUAAAAAAUAUCUCCCACAAUAAUUUAGAAUUUUUUAAGUUUGAUGAAUUAAAUAUGAUUUUUUUAUGCGCCAAAAAGUUAGAAAUUCAUAUCUAAUUCAUCCAAUGUGUUGUAAAAAACUAAAUUUUGAAGGGAGAGAUUUUUAUNNNNNNNNNNNNNNNNNNNNNNNNNNNNNNNNNNNNNNNNNNNNNNNNUAAAGUUUUGUCAAAGAGGUUUAUACAAUGUACUAAACAUGAAUGCCGAAAAUAAUAAAUUUUUUAAGUAAUAUAGAUGAGUUGACAAUCCACUAGGUUAGGUAAUAAGCAUGAGGUCCUAAAUUCGAUUAUUGCUUACUCCGUUGUAAACCCAAAACUAUAUAUAGAUGAGUUGACUUAAAAGUAGAGAUGAUAAUGGUACGAAAGAUAUUUGAGAACUAAAACUUGCUGAAAUUUUUUAUUGGAACUAAAACAAAAUUUGACAUAUUUAUAGGGACAAAAAAUUUAUUUAACCCUAUAAAUUAAUAUAAAAAUAUCAUAUGAUAUUAAAUUUUGUAUAAAAAUACCAGUAUAUCAAACUAAAUUUUCAAAGCUAAUUUAAAAACAAUAAUAAAAAUUACUUACAGCUAUUUGCUAUAGAAAUUAAUAUGGAAAAAAAGAUAACCAUAACAUAAGUAAACAUAUAAACUUUAACCAUAUUUUUACUUUUAUGAAUCUAGAUAUAAGAAUCAUUUGCUAGCUUUAUAG
RNAcentral lists this long non-coding RNA (1461 nucleotides) under Trifolium pratense (red clover). Its description in RNAcentral is "long non-coding RNA (TPRA_LNC014011)". Lineage: Eukaryota; Viridiplantae; Streptophyta; Magnoliopsida; Fabales; Fabaceae. The record is from RNAcentral.